AAGUACUCUCCUUUCUGCUGCUAUCACUCUCAGUGGGUCCAACUAUAUCCUCAAGCAACUCUUCCCAAAAUGCAGCUGCUCCACUCAGUUGUGUGGUGGUGGUGGUAGUGGUUCUGCUAGAAGUAGCCAACAUCUCAGCCUCCUGCUGAACUACUCCCUCAGACAGCAUUCCCCUCUUUUGCUGCCAGUCACACUCCCUCUGGAUCAGUUUAUCCCUACAAGUUGUUAGGCUAUUGGAUCUUAGUGCAAGCUUUCCC
Molecule: non-coding RNA, 257 nt
Organism: Pelobates cultripes (western spadefoot toad)
Lineage: Eukaryota; Metazoa; Chordata; Amphibia; Anura; Pelobatidae
Source: the annotation of a GenBank genome assembly